GACGAACGCUGGCGGCGUGCUUAACACAUGCAAGUCGAACGGAAAGGCCUGCAGCUUGCUGCGGGUACUCGAGUGGCGAACGGGUGAGUAACACGUGGGUGAUCUGCCUUGCACUUCGGGAUAAGCUUGGGAAACUGGGUCUAAUACCGGAUAGGACAGCUGUUUAGUGUCAGUUGUGGAAAGUUUUUUCGGUGCAAGAUGAGCUCGCGGCCUUUCAGCUUGUUGGUGGGGUAAUGGCCUACCAAGGCGUCGACGGGUAGCCGGCCUGAGAGGGUGUACGGCCACAUUGGGACUGAGAUACGGCCCAGACUCCUACGGGAGGCAGCAGUGGGGAAUAUUGCACAAUGGGCGGAAGCCUGAUGCAGCGACGCCGCGUGGGGGAUGAAGGCCUUCGGGUUGUAAACUCCUUUCGACAGGGACGAAGCUUUUGUGACGGUACCUGUAGAAGAAGCACCGGCUAACUACGUG
Molecule: ribosomal RNA, 468 nt
Filed under: uncultured bacterium
Lineage: Bacteria
Description: partial 16S ribosomal RNA
Rfam family: Bacterial small subunit ribosomal RNA
Source: RNAcentral